This is a long non-coding RNA of Patella vulgata (common limpet), 2402 nucleotides long. RefSeq lists it as uncharacterized. The record is from RefSeq and is a predicted model, not a curated record. The transcript has 3 exons. NCBI's taxonomy places the organism in Eukaryota, Metazoa, Mollusca, Gastropoda, Patellidae.
AGAAAUUUUUGGCGGUUUUUUCUUUUGGCCGUUAUGUCCAUAACCCAUUAAUACAAGGUUUUGAACAUUAUGAUAAACAUGGUUUUUAAACAAUAGGCUGGCAAGCUAUAUAUUGUUACCACAUGUCAGGGUGAUUUAAAAGAAGGGCUUAAUAGGGUUUUUCUCCUAUGUUAGUAUGCUGUAUCUGGAUGUGGCCCACAAUCAUCCCAUAUUACGUGUAUUUAUCAGUCAUAUCUGGGGUCCGAAAAUAGAAGAGAAACAAACAGGAAAAAAGAACAAGACAAGUAAAGCAUGGAUACGAUGGAAUCUAGCAUACACUCUGAUUAAAAACCCGAAUUUGAGAGAAUUAAGAGUACAUAAAAUACCUCAUGAUCAACUAUCUACGAUCGAUAUUGGAUUAAAUCAUGAACUAGGAAGUGUGGUAUAUUAUAAUAACAAUACUGAAAUUGAAUUGUUUUAAACUCAUCCGGUUUCAAGUUUUGGUUUUAGUUUUGAGUAAUAGAGGUGUUUGUUUGUUGGGGCCUUAAAAAACGCUUAAAGAUACAUUAUGGGAGAUCAGAUAAAGAGCUGGCAGUUCUCACUAUAAUAGUUAAAAACUAGAUAAUAUAAAGGCAAUUUGCUGUAAAUUUCAGUCAAAUUGAUCCACUCUGAACCAAGAUUUUUGUCGGUACGAUAAAAAAAACGAUUGUCAUUACUAAAGUCGGUACGAUAAAAACAUAGUCUCGAGUAUCCAUUUCAUGAUUAAAUCAUGAAUGAAAGCUGAGCAGCAAAUCGUAUCAUAAUCCAAUGAAUAUCGCAGGCUAGCGUUGACAUCGAGAGUUGCAUAUGGUCUGGAUAUGUUAAUUAAUGUCUAAUUAUAAAUUAAUACCUGCAAUAGGCAGAUUUAGCUCUUGCAUAAUGUAUGUUUAAUUAAUCUAUGACUAAAGAUUAUUUUAGAUAACUUAGCUGCUGUGGUGAUAGAUUUUGUUGCCUGAAUAUAUAUCUAUCUCUAAUUAAACAUACAUUAUUCAAGAGCUAAAUCUGCCUAUUGCAGGUAUUUCUUUAGGCCUGAAAUUUUAUCUAAAUUAUUAAUAAGACAUUUAUUAACAAAACAAGACCAUAAUCAACUCUUGAUGGCAUCGAAUACUCGAGAUUUUAACUAGAUUAUAACGGUUCACGAUUUAAAAAUUUAAUUUAAAAAUGGGAAAGCGAGGCUAAGUCACGAAUAUCCAGUACCCUGAUUACCACAAUGUACACAUCUUGUCAAAACUACAAACAGUGAUAACUUGGCUCAGAAUGAAGUAAUUUGAAUGAUAUUUUCAAUAUUUUCAUUUUACAUUAUCUAUUUUUGAGCUAUAUUAGCAAGAGUGAUCAGCUCUUUAUCUAAAUCUUACAUAAUGUAUCUUUAAGACAGUGAAUUAUUCCUUUUCAUUGUAUAAUUUGUUUUCAACACUGUCAAUUUCAUAGUAUUAUCUGUUUUCAACACUGUACAUUUGAUAGUAUUAUCUGUUUAACACUGUACAUUUGAUAGUAUUAUCUGUUUAACACUGUACAUUUGAUAGUAUUAUCUGUUUUCACAACUGUUCAUUUCAUAGUAUUAUCUGUUUUCACCACUGUGCAUUUCAUGGUACCAUCUGUUUUCACCACUGUGCAUUUCAUGGUACCAUCUGUUUUCACCACUGUGCAUUUCAUGGUACCAUCUGUUUUCACCACUGCAUAUUUGAUAUUAUAAUUAGUUUUCACCACUGCAUUUCAUAGUAGAAUUUGUUUCCAAAACUGCAUUUCAUAGUAUUUGUUUUCAACACUGCAUUUCAUAAUAUAAUCUGUUUUCAACACUGCGCAUUUCAUAGUAUUAUCUGUUUUCACAACUGUGCAUUUCAUAGUAUUAUCUGUUUUCACUGCUGUGCAUUUUAUGUUUUCAACACGGUGCAUUUCAAAGUGUAAUUUGUUUUAAUAAUUGGUUGUUUAGUUUUAUAUUUGUUAUCAUUAUUGUCUAGUUAAGACAUGUAAAAAUAUUAUUUUAUAAAUAAGCCAACCUUCAGGUUGUGAUUUUCCAUUUUCGAUCAGAAUGAAUACUGUUUAGUUUUAAACUAAUAUGUUGAUAAUUUUAUGUUGAAUCUGAAAGAACACGGUUUAAGUUCUAAAUUAAUUUGUUUAUAAUUUUAUUUCCAAUCUGUUUAGUUAGACAGUGCAUGAUAUUUUUAAUUUACAUGUAUUUUCUUUUAUUUGUUAUCUGAAUGAAUACUGUUUAUAAUUUUCUUCCAAUCUGAAUGAAUACGUUUUAUUUAGUUAUAAUGUGCAUAUUAUUGUGGCAUAUUUUAUUAUUUUCUUUUAUUUAAACUCUGAUCUGAAUGAAUACAGUUUAGUUUUAAACUAAUAUGUUUAUAAUUUUAUUUUCGAUCUGAAUAAAUGCUGUUUAGUUG